CCGCACUGCCCCCCCGGAGCCACCGGGAAAGGAGCCCGGCCCAUCCCCCAAGCUGGCUGCUUGUUUUUCUUCCACCCGCGGCUGGAAGGGAAGGAGGGAGCGCGUGCUCCCGGGACUGACCUAUGCUCUCUAAACUGUUAAAGCCUGAGCUUGAUAGGCGGGGGCCAGAUGGGAGAGACCCACAGGACGAAAGGCUUUUCCACUUCUUGUUCCCUCUGCCUGCAAUAUUCUACAGAUAUUUUGAUGGCUAGCUUCUCAUCAGGUUCAAGCACUGACAUAAAGUUUACCUCUUUGCAUCUUCACCAGGAGUAGAGUCCAGCUCAGGAAACCACUGUCUUUGCUCAUCCGUAAGAAGCAGCCCCACAGCUGUGAAAGUUCGAUCAGGAGAUCGCAGCCAUCCAGUAACAUGUUCAGGCUCCCCUGCAGCUUCUAGUCCUCUCGCUGUUUCCACCACAUCUGCUCUUCCUGCCUCCACUGGAAUCCUGAGCCCUCCAAGUUACCCAUGAGGGCUGGGAUCAACUGCUUCCAGACUCCUGUUCAUGUUGAUACUGUGACCUCUUCCCAUGGAUCAUGAAUGUUCUUAAUGGCAUGUAGAAUGGUAGAUCUUUUCCAGAAGGUUUUCAAUUGACUUUGCCCAGGGCCAUCAGAGGAAUCGGUAUCUUUGGCAGCUAUAGCCUUGCAAAAUAUGUUUCUUGAAUAAGAAGACUUGAAAGUUGAAAUUAUUCCUUGAUCCAUGGGCUGCAGAAUAAAUGUUGUGUUAGCGGCAUAAAAAUGAUAUUAAAUCCAUUGUACAUC
Molecule: long non-coding RNA, 795 nt
Organism: Lutra lutra (Eurasian river otter)
Lineage: Eukaryota; Metazoa; Chordata; Mammalia; Carnivora; Mustelidae
Exons: 4
Source: RefSeq, a predicted model, not a curated record